GGGCCCGUAAGUCUCGUUUACUUUCACUUUCGAUUUACCACUUCCGGGUACAUCGGCAGACUUAUUUACCGUUACGCAUAUAGGUAACCCGAAGAACUCGAGAGAUAUAGAAAUUAAAUUUGCUUCGGUCCUCUUCAGAUUUGAAGGAAUGGAAAGCUCGGGUCAAAAAAUGCAGGUAGGUCAAUUAUCUGACGGAAAAACGAGGGAUUUAUAGAGUUUAAUAAAACUAGUUUAUUUUCGGAUAGUGACAAUUGUUUCGGAUGUUUUGUCAAGAUGUGUAGACAGGGAAGUAUAUGACAAGUAUAGAAUAUACAGUUGUUCACUAUGGACCAUUAAUCAACUGUUUGCACUGCCUAUGACCCUGAAAUAUCUAUACAUCAAAGAUAAAAAGGGAAAAGAUGAAGGAGAAUUUGUCCAUGAAGACCUUCAUUGCAACUACCAUCUUCCAGUUCCUUAAUUUGAGAAUGAUAUCAGAGAACACACAGUUACAGUGCAAUAUUGGUUUAAUAUAAGUCACUGAGAAUAGUCAAAUGUAUUUUCCUGAAGAAGAUGAAUGACAUCCAGCACAAAAAUCUUAAUGUAAAAGAGUAUGAUUUUAUGGUGUUUGACACUAUGAGUCCAUAAUCAAGUUAACUUGUUAAUGUCACAAUGAUAGAAACAGAGUAAAAUAUCCACAUUUCAUUGCAGUUUUAAGUAUUAAAACUAGAUACUCUAUAUAUACCAAAGUAGAAAACACACCAGAGAUAAGGAUUUUCAUGGAAUCACAGUAUAGUCAUUUGUCAUUAUGGACAUUAAAUGACUAUGAAGUAAAGAUGAAAAAGAAAUAGCAAAAAUAUUAUAUAUCAUCUACUACUAAUAUUGUGAGGUAAUCAUUAAUAAGCUCACAAAUUUGCAUUCAAAGAUUUGAUAUCAAGCUGACCAUUUUUCAAUUAGAAUAUGAUUUAUAACUCUAUGAUAAUGUGUUCAUGUUAAUUUUCAAAGUCUUUAUAUUUGUAAAAGGAAAUAUUCUUAUUCUUGUAUCAGUAGACAUUCACAGUGUAAAGUUACAUUGUCCAAAUAACUAAUAAUAAUUUCAAGUGCUUUCCUGAAGUUUUUCUUCCACUGAGUGGAAUAUCAGUGUGAUAUACAUGUAUAUGCU
Molecule: long non-coding RNA, 1138 nt
Organism: Ruditapes philippinarum (Manila clam)
Lineage: Eukaryota; Metazoa; Mollusca; Bivalvia; Venerida; Veneridae
Exons: 3
Source: RefSeq, a predicted model, not a curated record